This is a long non-coding RNA of Homo sapiens (human), 484 nucleotides long. The record is from Ensembl. NCBI's taxonomy places the organism in Eukaryota, Metazoa, Chordata, Mammalia, Primates, Hominidae.
GCGUCUUGCUGACCUAAAUCCUUGAACUGGAAACACAGGCUUAUGGAUGGGAGGAUAAAUAAUCCUCUUCCUCCUAUGUCUCUUUUCAGAGAUAAUGGACCUGAGGAAAACACCAAACUAGAUGGUCAUUAAGUCUCUAAAGUAGAAACGGCCUCUUAGCUUGAGGACUACCCCAGCAUAGGUAUUGCAUCAGAGCCUACAAUGUGGAUCCUCCCCGCAGCUGGACCAGGUCAUUCAUAUCAGCACUACCCUUUCUUAGAUGCCUUUGUCUGAUAAACUUUGAACCUAUCUCUCUGUUUCCAGAACAGAGUCCAUAACUCUUCUAAGAAGAGGAAGCAAAUCAAAGCCUGGAAUUCAAAGCUUUCUUCAGCAGAGUCAACAGACCAAUAAAGAAAGGGAGUCCCUCUGCCUGUGGCAUUGUCCACACUCACAGGGUCCCACACUCUUAUUUGUUCCUACAGAGUAAAACGAGGCUAGAAAUACC